This 406-nucleotide ribosomal RNA is filed under the name uncultured bacterium. RNAcentral describes it as "partial 16S ribosomal RNA". It matches the Rfam family "Bacterial small subunit ribosomal RNA", at positions 29 to 526 of the family's 1533-position model. The record is from RNAcentral.
AUUGAACGCUGGCGCCAGGCCUAACACAAGCAAGUCGAACGAGUGGCGGACGGGUGAGUAAUGUCUGGGAAACUGCCCGAUGGAGGGGGAUAACUACUGGAAACGGUAGCUAAUACCGCAUACCAUCGGAUGUGCCCAGAUGGGAUUAGGUAGUAGGGGGGGUAAUGGCUCACCUAGGCGACGAUCCCUAGCUGGUCUGAGAGGAUGACAAGCCACGCUGGAACUGAGACACGGUCCGGACUCCUACGGGAGGCAGGGGUGGGGAAUAUUGAACAAUGGGCGCAAGCCUGAUGCAGCAAAGCAGCGUGUAUGAAGAAGGCCUUCAGGUAGUAAAGUACUUUCAGCGAGGAGGAGUUACUCGCGGAAGAAGCACCGGCUAACUCCAUGCCAGCAGCCGCGGUAAUAC